UCUGGCUUCAAUCGGAAGACGAGAAAAAACAUGAAGCAGGUGUCUGGCUGUGCUUUCUUGGGCACUGAGUUGGGUUCCCGCCUUCCAGUUUGAAGUUCCAGAUUUCCGUCCUUCACCCAUUUCACUCCUUCAUUUGCAGAACAUUUUAUAACUCCUCACCAUGUUUUUCGACUAUCCUAUUCUGCCCCGUUAAUGUCUUGCCCGUUUUCUAUUCCUUUUAUCCCUUCUCAGCCGGUUUGUUCGUUCCCCGGCGAUCGCAAUCGUGUUCAGAGUGGACACUGUUUCCAGGCGAUGGCUCUAACGGUCAAUCUCAUUCGGUAAGUCUGUGGCUCAUCUCAGGGUAAGUUGGCGGGCUUUGAAAUUGUUUUUCUGUUUCUUUUUUUUUUUUUCAAAAUUUUUCUUCCCGGGUGUUGGCGGUUCGCACGAUCGUGGGGGAAAUUUUAACUCUAUGUAUUUUCAAAUCACUCUUACUUAAUUCUUGAAAUUUCACAAACCCAGAGUUUUCUGUCCCGUCUGUUUAUAGUUAUUCCACCAAGAUAAGUGGAAUAUGCCAACGAUCUAUUGUUUGAAGAACUGUGCUUGAAGAGCCCAUCAUGCGACACUUUGAUUCCAUGAAGCGGGACAAAGCCUACGAGGCAAGUGUUCAAAGCGGGGAAAGGAAGGUUUAAGGUUGUGGGAAGAGCUGGUAUGGGGAUCAACAGUGUCGAUCUGCAAGCUGCUACAAAGUUCGGUUGCCAUUAACGCUCCCACCACCAAUACCAACACCGUCACCAAGUACGGCAUUGGUCUCCUCACCGCCAUGGCCAGAAAUGUUGCACAGGUCGACACUUCCAUGAAAUUUGAAGAUGGAAUUGCCUUAAGGAAGGUGAUCCUUAGGGUGGGUCUUUGCUAAAGUUCUCAAUCCAGAUGAGCUUCUUGAUUCAGUGCCGCGCUGUAAAAGGGAAGAGGAAAUUUUCUGUCUGUCUUUAGGGUCACUGAAAUCGAUUCCAAUGAGACGGAGAACGAAGAUGAAGUACCUUGAACUUUGUGACCUCGAUUCUCCAAGUCAAUCCAAUUGAGAAAAUGAAGAAGCAAUCUAUGGAGUCCACAAGAAGCAUCCUUGCACUGGUUACGCUGCAAGGGAGGAAAAAAACGAAGCAGGAAAAUAGGGACCUUGAAGGCCAUAAAGUCUUGAAGCAGCUCUGAGGAUGCCAAAGAAGGAAGUCACUCAAUGGGGUUAAUCGAAGAUUUGGGUUCGAAAAAUUGGCUCAAUUUCUACGAGGCUUUGCUUGGUGUGAUUCACUUUCCUCUCUCAUGAUCUUACUUUCGUUGGUUGGUGUUGUUAAUGGAUGGAAUGGGAUUGACAGAAGGGUUAAAUCUUAACUGCGGGCAUAUGUCAGCUAUGACACCCUCAGAAUCAGGUCCUAAGCUACUACAUCUCUCUCCCGCAGCGUCUCCAAGAUGCGACCUAAAUAUCAAUGCAAGGCUUGCCUCUGUAAACUUUAGCAUGGAUCAUGCAGAAGUAGAGACAAGAGGAGCUCAAGCUCAUAGCAUCUGCACAAAAAUGUAUACAAGGGAGACAAACGGAGACCAAAAAACGUGGUAUCUUUUGUAAUAGGCAUGGAUCUCUUCUUGGGACUAUUUGAACAUUAGGUUCUCUUUUCACUUUAGUUGUGUUGUUGCAGUACCAAUUCAUCAAUUUUGGGCGCACAUUUGCUAAAGAUUCCACUGCUUUGAAAUUUUAUACCUUGAACAUCUAAUGAUUUAGGAAGUAUAUGGAGAGGGGAUGCUCAUUUAGUUUAGAGAUAUGAUUAUUAAUUCAUUUGGAAAACUUGAGUUGCACUAAUAUGGGAGAAGAGUUCUUCAGAGAUUACUAGGACUAUUGAACAAAGGACACGUUGAACUCAAGAGCUGCGGGAAGAAAAGUUUUCAUGUGGAGCAAGAUGCUACCAUUUGAAUCUCUUUAUGAGAGAUCGAUGGCCAAGUGAAUGGAUGAGAAUUUUGUAUAUGUGGAGGGAUAGUGGGAAACAAAAUGACUGGGUUGUAAGUUUCUAUCAUAAAAUUGAGCCACUUCUACCAGUGAUCUCAGAAAUUAAAGCAAUUAUUAUGAGAUUAAGACUUUGUUGGGAGAACGCAUUUAGGCACAUUAACGUUGUAUUAUACCAUCUCUGAGUCCAAGCUAUCAAUGUGAUCGCAAGGAACAUAAAAAGUGAACAUUCCUUUAGCCAAGUCAUCUGAGGCUAGGAUUUAGUUUGUGAAUUUACUUUUCAUGUGUCGACGUCAUUGGUGUGAAUUUUAUAUUGAUAUGUAAUUAUUUAUACAAGCAGGGGUGGGCCUAUUUGUAAAAUAGAGGAGGCAAUUACCCCAACAUGCUUAGUAAAACAUACACAUAGUGAUCUUAAAUA
Molecule: long non-coding RNA, 2384 nt
Organism: Prosopis cineraria
Lineage: Eukaryota; Viridiplantae; Streptophyta; Magnoliopsida; Fabales; Fabaceae
Exons: 6
Source: RefSeq, a predicted model, not a curated record